RNAcentral lists this ribosomal RNA (1544 nucleotides) under metagenome. RNAcentral describes it as "bacterial LSU rRNA". It matches the Rfam family "Bacterial large subunit ribosomal RNA", at positions 1359 to 2925 of the family's 2925-position model. The record is from RNAcentral.
UUAAAGCUGAUCUGCCCUGGGUAAGUCGGGGCCUAAGGCGAGGUCGGAAGACGUAGCCGAUGGACAACAGGUGGAGAUUCCUGUACUGCAUAUGGUCAGAACUGUGGGGACACGGGGUGUUAACGGAAGCCGGGAAAGGAAAGACCGGUCCAAGCACAGGAGGCGUUGCGCAGGCAAAUCCGCGCAAUAAGCCAAAGGUGUGACGGGGAGCGAAAUUAUAGUAGCGAAGUCCGGAUACAUGCUGUCAAGAAAAGCCGCUAUUGCGCCAUAUGUACCCGUACCGUAAACCGACACAGGUGGAUGAGGAGAGAAUCCUAAGGCCGGCGGGAGAAGUGUUGUUAAGGAACUCGGCAAAAUGGCCCCGUAACUUCGGGAGAAGGGGCGCCCAGAAAUGGGCCGCAGAGAAAAGGCUCAAGCAACUGUUUAGCAAAAACACAGGUCUAUGCGAAACCGAAAGGUGAGGUAUAUGGGCUGACGCCUGCCCGGUGCUGGAAGGUUAAGGGGAGAGGUUAGCCGCAAGGCGAAGCUUUGAACUUAAGCCCCAGUAAACGGCGGCCGUAACAAUAACGGUCCUAAGGUAGCGAAUUUCCUUGUCGGGUAAGUUCCGACCCGCACGAAAGGCGUAAUGAUUUGAGCACUGUCUCGACAACACACCCGGUGAAAUUGAAAUACCAGUGAAGAUGCUGGUUACCUGCGCCAGGACGGAAAGACCCCAUGGAGCUUUACUCUAGUUUGAUACUGGGACCCGGUAUGACAUGUACAGGAUAGGUGGGAGGCAGAGAAUUAAUGACGCCAGUCAUUAAGGAGCCGCUGUUGGGAUACCACCCUUGUGAUGCCAGGUUUCUAACGAGCUGCCGUGAACCGGCAGGCGGACAAUGUCAGGCGGGGAGUUUGACUGGGGCGGUCGCCUCCGAAAGGGUAUCGGAGGCGCUCAAAGGUUCCCUCAGAAUGGUUGGAAACCAUUCGGAGAGUGCAAAGGCAGAAGGGAGCCUGACUGCGACACCGACGGGUGGAGCAGGUACGAAAGUAGGACUUAGUGAUCCGGUGGUAUAAAGUGGGAUUGCCAUCGCUCAACGGAUAAAAGCUACCCUGGGAUAACAGGCUUAUCACUCCCAAGAGUUCACAUCGACGGAGUGGUUUGGCACCUCGAUGUCGGCUCAUCGCAUCCUGGGGCUGGAGUAGGUCCCAAGGGUUGGGCUGUUCGCCCAUUAAAGCGGUACGCGAGCUGGGUUCAGAACGUCGUGAGACAGUUCGGUCCCUAUCCGGCGCGGGCGUAAGAGAUUUGAGAGGAGCUGUCCUUAGUACGAGAGGACCGGGAUGGACGGACCACUGGUGUAUCUGUUGCACCACCAGGUGCACGGCAGAGUAGCCAAGUCCGGACGGGAUAAACGCUGAAGGCAUCUAAGCGUGAAGCCCCCCUCAAGAUGAGAUCUCUCAUUCGAAAGAAGUAAGACCCCUUGAAGACGACGAGGUAGAUAGGGCAGGGGUGGAAGGGCAGUAAUGUCCGGAGCUGACUGUUACUAAUCGGUCGAGGGCUUGACCAA